Long non-coding RNA from Bufo bufo (common toad), 593 nucleotides. RefSeq lists it as uncharacterized. The transcript has 3 exons. NCBI's taxonomy places the organism in Eukaryota, Metazoa, Chordata, Amphibia, Anura, Bufonidae. The record is from RefSeq and is a predicted model, not a curated record.
UUGUUAUACAUGAGGAAUGCAUGAAGCUAUUAAAACAGACAUGUCAGGAGCGGUGACAGGUCCUCUUUAAAUAACAUUUUGCAUGCUGCACCACGCGCACUACUUCUCAUUUAAAUGAAUCAGAAUUUUAGAACAAGGUUAAAAUGAAAAUUCAAAAGGGCUUUCUUUUUCAUUUGACUUUUGGCAGGGAAAAUGCCUACAAGAGAUGAAAUUGAAAUCUCAAUCUACCAUUUUCAGCUUCUACAUGGUGUGUUCAUUUGAUUUAUGAUUUUGACAUGAAAAACCCACUAUAGGAAGAGGAGAAUUAAUUGACAAAGUGAAAAUUUAAAGUGAAAAAGGCUAUUUAUUUUUACAUUAAUUUUUUUGGCACUUAUGACCCACACUGGAGUUGGAAAAGAAAAUAAAAAAAUGGAGAAAUUGAAUUUUCUUUUUAAUUUUGGCAUGCAUUUAGCAGACACUAGAUGAAAUUAAAAUGUUAAAACGUUAUUUUAAUUCUAAUUUUCAAUUUCAUUUUAAUUUUGGCAGGUUUUACCUCCCAUACUGUAUGUAGCAGACAGAGUUACUUACACUAGAACUAGCAAGUUGUACAGCUC